CGGUUAGCUGCACGCUUGUGG
This 21-nucleotide unclassified non-coding RNA is filed under the name Chlamydomonas reinhardtii. Its description in RNAcentral is "small RNA Cre_1364". The record is from RNAcentral. Lineage: Eukaryota; Viridiplantae; Chlorophyta; Chlorophyceae; Chlamydomonadales; Chlamydomonadaceae.